GGCCGUGCACGCUCACGACGGGCGUGCUCGCUUCCGCAAUUGCGGAUGGUCGUAGGUGUCAGCAGAACCACGGCUCAAUUUAGUGCAGGCAUGAAAUCUGUCAUCCUUCCCUGGUGUGGCCUAUAUGUGACUCCAGUUAGAGACAAGAAAACUGCAGAUGCUGGAAUCCACCCUUCUCCGUAAAUCUGUAGCGCCACCUACCCCUGCAUCUAGUCCUGAAAGAAGGUUGUACCCAAAACGUUGACUCACCUCCUGGUGCUGCCUGGCUUGCUGUGUUCUUCCAGCCCCCUGUUUGUCUACUGUAUAUGUGAUUCCAGAUCCAAAGUAAUAUGGUUGAGUGAACUGUUAACAAUUUGAGAUGGGCAAUAAAUGCUAGACAAAUCAUGAAUGAAUAAAACACAACAUUCAAGGACCUGAUCAAUGUCUGAAACAUGGUCAACUCAUGCUGGCGAUUCCCACCGUCAGGAGUAGCGACUUUGUCAGAGAGCCAUUGCUCAGGAAUCUUCAUUUCCACCAUCGCAAGUUCAAAUGGCUGAUGGAGGGGAGGACUGUGGCCAUGCUAGAGUUUGGGAACGUGCUGAAUGGCAAAGGCCUGGAUUGGAUGUUGCUGCAGGAAUUGGCAAGCAGGGUGUCAGUGGACGUCCAGCUCUCAACCAAAGCCGUCUGCUGCAUGAAAACAGCAGUGCUCAAACCUGAUGUCAUGCACCUGUUGGGAGGAUACUCAGCUGUGCAGUGGAAUCCUCUUUGGAUGGAAUUUCAUAUUGGCCCCAAGUUCCUGAACUUCCCUCACGGGUCUGUACUCCACAACCUGAGUCACUUCCUAAGUAUGACUAUGACUCUGCC
This is a long non-coding RNA of Chiloscyllium plagiosum (whitespotted bambooshark), 843 nucleotides long. RefSeq lists it as uncharacterized. NCBI's taxonomy places the organism in Eukaryota, Metazoa, Chordata, Chondrichthyes, Orectolobiformes, Hemiscylliidae. The record is from RefSeq and is a predicted model, not a curated record.